UCAGGACGAACGCUGGCGGCGUGCUUAACACAUGCAAGUCGAGCGAUGAAGCUCUUCGGAAGUGGAUUAGCGGCGGACGGGUGAGUAACACGUGGGUAACCUGCCUCAUAGAGGGGAAUAGCCUUCCGAAAGGAAGAUUAAUACCGCAUAAGAUUGUAAUAUCGCAUGAUAUAGCAAUUAAAGGAGUAAUCCGCUAUGAGAUGGACCCGCGUCGCAUUAGCUAGUUGGUGAGGUAACGGCUCACCAAGGCGACGAUGCGUAGCCGACCUGAGAGGGUGAUCGGCCACAUUGGGACUGAGACACGGCCCAGACUCCUACGGGAGGCAGCAGUGGGGAAUAUUGCACAAUGGGGGAAACCCUGAUGCAGCAAACCGCCGCGUGAGUGAUGACGGUCUUCGGAUUGUAAAGCUCUGUCUUCAGGGACGAUAAUGACGGUACCUGAGGAGGAAGCCACGGCUAACUACGUGCCAGCAGCUGC
RNAcentral lists this ribosomal RNA (478 nucleotides) under uncultured bacterium. Its description in RNAcentral is "bacterial SSU rRNA". It matches the Rfam family "Bacterial small subunit ribosomal RNA", at positions 24 to 518 of the family's 1533-position model. The record is from RNAcentral.